Engraulis encrasicolus (European anchovy) is the source of this 1084-nucleotide long non-coding RNA. RefSeq lists it as uncharacterized. The record is from RefSeq and is a predicted model, not a curated record. The transcript is spliced from 4 exons. NCBI's taxonomy places the organism in Eukaryota, Metazoa, Chordata, Actinopteri, Clupeiformes, Engraulidae.
AGAGAGAGAGAGAGAGAGAGAGAAUGUGUGCACGCAGAUAUAAGAAGUUGGGGUUGAUGAUCCACAUGAUGGUGAUGGACCAGGACAGCUCUGGACCUCCUGACUGGCAGCUCCAUCCUCAACCUCUCUUCCUGCCCUUCACACAUGUGCAGGCAGGCAGUUUUCUGAAAGAUGGUUGAUGUCAGUACCAACAUGUUGUGAUGGAGGCUUCCACCUGAGCUGAACACAGAAACUUGCACACAGUGAUGGAAGCAGUCGUUCCUGUUCAGCAUCGAUAUGCCAGUAAUGGGUUUGAUGAGCCACAGCAUGGUGAUGGGCAAUCAGCAUCAGGACCAGGGCAGGUCACAAGGAGAACCUCCUGCCCUGCCUCGUCAUCCUCAACCUCCCAUCUCCCUGCUCUUCACACAUGUGCAGGCACGGAGCCAGUUUUCAGAGGGAGGGCUGAUGACACCAGCAACUUUGGUUCUGAACCUGAUCAACCCAGCACCAACCACUGUGCCGCUCCUCCUCUGCCAACUGCACCACAUGGCUCCAACUGCACCACAUGGCUCCACCUGCACCACAUGGCUCCACCAUCUUAAAAAGGCACAGACACUACUCCACUUCCUGCAAAGGAUGAGAGAAGAGCCGAUCGCCCCACAUCGGCACUCACCACCUUCUACAGGGGUGUCAUUGAGAGCAUCCUGACCAGCAGCCUCUCUGUCUGGCAUGGCAGCCGUCAAGCUGAAGACUAGAAGGCAGUACAGAGAGUGUGGUGAGAACGGCAGAAAAGCUCAUAAGAUCACCCCUACCAGCCAUUCAGGAUCUGUACACUUCACACUGUUCCAAGAGGGCAAUGAACAUCAUAAAGACACAACUCAUCCAGCAUACAGACUGUUCUCUCUACUACCAUCAGGGAAGCGCAUGUGGUGCCGCACAAGCACACUGGGAAACAGCUUCUUUCCACAAGCCAUCAGACUCCUCAACGCACUGAAGAAAACCACAUGAAUAUUCCAAGGACACUGGAGAAUAUUCCAUGAACACUUCUUUCACCAUGCCACGUACACUUUACUCAUUGCACCUUAUAUACAGCAUCUUCACAUCA